GGUUUACUACAGUCCGUUUCUCUCAUCACAUCGGAGACACCACCGGCCCCGAGCCCAUUUAGAAAUUACAGCCUCAUUACCAAAAGCAAAGGUUUGUUUCCUGCCUGCAAAACUGAGGGCAGGAACUACAGUAAGUACAGUUCACGGGGAGAGCUACUGGACAGAUACACCAAUGGGGCCCUCACGCCCAGAAGAACCAAGCUUUCCAGAAGACUUGUAGGGAUCCUUAUCACCGUCAAUAACAGGAGUCACUGUGGGGACUGAAAAAGCAGUGCGUCUGUGAAACAAAAAAGCCAGGAACGAGUGAUGUGAGAAACAGGAAACAAGUAAAUGAAGGCGGGCAUGCUGAAGGAAGGGUAAGUUCUUCUGGAAAGUUCUGGAAGCUAGAAGGAAAUUCUGCAGGUGGGGCCCACUGGACCACUGGCCGGUGCCGUAGCCACAACCCAUUCAACGCUGUACCCUUUCGGCACUUGGUGUAGUUAAGCAGAGUAGGUAGUGACCGUAACAGAUACUUUAAAAAGGUUGCUGAACGAAUGAAUAAGCAGACACUGAACAGCUGGCAAGAGGAGGACACCAGAAACGCCCCCCAAGCCGAGGCAUCUGAUACCUGGAAGAAUCAGGAAGGAGCAGAGUUGGUAGGGUUGGUGGGAGAGCAUGGCCAAGGGCGGUACAGACUUCUUGGGGUGACAGAGGAUGCUGGUAUUUAAAGCCUCCUCUUCCAGGGCCUGCAACAUGGGGUUAUGUUUACUUCAAGCCCCUCAGAGACCCUGGUAAAGUCCCGACCUUCUGAGGCAAAGUCACUAUUUAGCCAAGACAACAGAAAGCAGUGUGGUAGGCACUGUGCCCCUGCGAGAGAGAGGCUGUGUCCCCGCCGCUGUGCCCGGAGCCCGCACUCGGGGAUGAACAAGAUCAUCGCUUGCCCCAGAGACUUCAGAAGAAUCUCCAUCCCGGUUUUUGCACGCCCCACCACCCAGCAUGACCCUGAUUUUUAGGAACUUCGCCCUCAAAAGCGGACCACACAGUCUUUCAAAUGGCAUUACUUAUCCAAAAUAAAAGAAGUCCUCUCUUC
This is a long non-coding RNA of Felis catus (domestic cat), 1069 nucleotides long. RefSeq lists it as uncharacterized. The transcript is spliced from 2 exons. The record is from RefSeq and is a predicted model, not a curated record. NCBI's taxonomy places the organism in Eukaryota, Metazoa, Chordata, Mammalia, Carnivora, Felidae.